This 301-nucleotide ribosomal RNA is filed under the name uncultured bacterium. RNAcentral describes it as "partial 16S ribosomal RNA". It matches the Rfam family "Bacterial small subunit ribosomal RNA", at positions 509 to 807 of the family's 1533-position model. The record is from RNAcentral.
CAGCCGCCACGGUAAUCCGUAGGUGGCAAGCGUUGUCCGGAAUUAUUGGGCGUAAAGGGCUCGCAGGCGGUUUCUUAAGUCUGAUGUGAAAGCCCCCGGCUCAACCGGGGAGGGUCAUUGGAAACUGGGAAACUUGAGUGCAGAAGAGGAGAGUGGAAUUCCACGUGUAGCGGUGAAAUGCGUAGAGAUGUGGAGGAACACCAGUGGCGAAGGCGACUCUCUGGUCUGUAACUGACGCUGAGGAGCGAAAGCGUGGGGAGCGAACAGGAUUAGAUACCCGGGUAGUCCCUGUCUCUUAUAC